This 259-nucleotide unclassified non-coding RNA is filed under the name plant metagenome. RNAcentral describes it as "partial contains small subunit ribosomal RNA and internal transcribed spacer 1". The stretch from base 1 to 54 matches the Rfam family "Eukaryotic small subunit ribosomal RNA", at positions 1778 to 1831 of the family's 1831-position model. The record is from RNAcentral.
GGAAGUAAACGUCGUAACAAGGUUUCCGUAGGUGAACCUGCGGAAGGAUCAUUAACACUAAUUCAGGCCCGGAGGCUUCGCGCUUCUGGGACUGGAUGGAUCCAUAUCCAUUUAUACCCCUGUGAAUUGUUAGAGUCUUUAUGAAGUGAGCCACAAACAAGCCUGUUUUGAACAGUCUGAACUUUUAAACCGAAGCUAGAAAUGGCCGAGGUUGAAAAUUAACCAAAUACAACUUUCAGCAACGGAUAUCUUGGUUCUC